UACGGAGGAUGCGAGCGUUAUCCGGAUUUAUUGGGUUUAAAGGGUGCGCAGGCGGGCUGUUAAGCCGGCGGUAAAAAUUCAGGGCUCAACCCUGUCGAGCCGUCGGAACUGGCAGUCUUGAGUGGGCGAGAAGUAUGCGGAAUGCGUGGUGUAGCGGUGAAAUGCUUAGAGAUCAUACAGAACACCGAUUGCGAAGGCAGCUUACCAAACUAUAUCUGACGUUGAGGCACGAAAGCGUGGGUAGCAAACAGG
Molecule: ribosomal RNA, 252 nt
Filed under: uncultured Bacteroidales bacterium
Lineage: Bacteria; Pseudomonadati; Bacteroidota; Bacteroidia; Bacteroidales
Description: partial 16S ribosomal RNA
Rfam family: Bacterial small subunit ribosomal RNA
Source: RNAcentral